AUUGAACGCUGGCGGCAGGCCUAACACAUGCAAGUCGAGCGGAUGAAGGGAGCUUGCUCCUGGAUUCAGCGGCGGACGGGUGAGUAAUGCCUAGGAAUCUGCCUGGUAGUGGGGGAUAACGUCCGGAAACGGGCGCUAAUACCGCAUACGUCCUGAGGGAGAAAGUGGGGGAUCUUCGGACCUCACGCUAUCAGAUGAGCCUAGGUCGGAUUAGCUAGUUGGUGGGGUAAAGGCCUACCAAGGCGACGAUCCGUAUCUGGUCUGAGAGGAUGAUCAGUCACACUGGAACUGAGACACGGUCCAGACUCCUACGGGAGGCAGCAGUGGGGAAUAUUGGACAAUGGGCGAAAGCCUGAUCCAGCCAUGCCGCGUGUGUGAAGAAGGUCUUCGGAUUGUAAAGCACUUUAAGUUGGGAGGAAGGGCAGUAAGUUAAUACCUUGCUGUUGUGACGUUACCAACAGAAUAAGCACCGGCUAACUUCGUG
RNAcentral lists this ribosomal RNA (484 nucleotides) under uncultured bacterium. Its description in RNAcentral is "partial 16S ribosomal RNA". It matches the Rfam family "Bacterial small subunit ribosomal RNA", at positions 30 to 507 of the family's 1533-position model. The record is from RNAcentral.